RNAcentral lists this ribosomal RNA (253 nucleotides) under uncultured prokaryote. Its description in RNAcentral is "partial 16S ribosomal RNA". It matches the Rfam family "Bacterial small subunit ribosomal RNA", at positions 524 to 776 of the family's 1533-position model. The record is from RNAcentral.
UACGUGGGGUGCUAGCGUUGUUCGGAAUUACUGGGCGUAAAGCGCGUGUAGGCGGCUCGAUGUGUCAUGUGUGAAAUCCCUUGGCUUAACCAAGGAACUGCGCCUGAAACUAUCGAGCUUGAGUUUGGGAGAGGAGGGUGGAAUUUCCAGUGUAGAGGUGAAAUUCGUAGAUAUUGGGAGGAACACCGGUGGCGAAGGCGACUCUCUGGACCAAAACUGACGCUAAGACGCGAAAGCAUGGGUAGCAAACAGG